This 272-nucleotide long non-coding RNA is filed under the name Prunus persica (peach). RNAcentral's name for it is "long non-coding RNA (PPER_LNC005476)". Lineage: Eukaryota; Viridiplantae; Streptophyta; Magnoliopsida; Rosales; Rosaceae. The record is from RNAcentral.
UUGAGUUUUUAAUAAAUUUGGAGAAAAAGAGAAAACCAACUUAGUUCGUCAAAUGAAAAGUGAAAAGGCACCAGUUGCUAUGAUCUGAAGUUUUUUGGGAUCACUUUCAAAAUGCAGGAAAGCCCUACCCUACAGAUCAAUAACACGAGACAGCUUCUGGAUCCGGUUUAACAAGAAAUCCCCUUGCUUGAUUGUUGCUUGGUAGAGAGAAUUCUUAGCAUCAGGACGGUUAGUUUCUAGAACACCAGCAACCUUGUCAAUCUUGCAAUGAA